This 70-nucleotide transfer RNA is filed under the name Marmota monax (woodchuck). RNAcentral's name for it is "tRNA.Ala". The stretch from base 8 to 63 matches the Rfam family "tRNA", at positions 8 to 63 of the family's 71-position model. From Rfam's summary of the family: Transfer RNA (tRNA) molecules are approximately 80 nucleotides in length. Their secondary structure includes four short double-helical elements and three loops (D, anti-codon, and T loops). The record is from RNAcentral. Lineage: Eukaryota; Metazoa; Chordata; Mammalia; Rodentia; Sciuridae.
GGGGAUAUAGCUUAUUUGGUAGAGUGUUUGUCUUGCAUACAAGGUCCUGGGUUCAAUCCCCAGCACUACA